RNAcentral lists this ribosomal RNA (1280 nucleotides) under uncultured organism. RNAcentral's name for it is "bacterial SSU rRNA". It matches the Rfam family "Bacterial small subunit ribosomal RNA", at positions 126 to 1411 of the family's 1533-position model. The record is from RNAcentral.
CUGCCUUUUGGAUCGGGAUAACAUCGCGAAAGUGGUGCUAAUACCGAAUAAUAUCUACGGAUCAAAGGGGGCGUUUGCUCUCACCAGAAGAGGAGCUUGCGGCCCAUUAGCUUGUUGGUGAGGUAAUGGCUCACCAAGGCUGCGAUGGGUAGCCGGCCUGAGAGGGUGUACGGUCAUACUGGAACUGAGACACGGUCCAGACUCCUACGGGAGGCAGCAGUGGGGAAUAUUGGUCAAUGGGCGAAAGCCUGAACCAGCAAUGCCGUGUGGGUGAUGAAGCCUUUAGGAGUGUAAAACCCUUUUAUGAGGGAAGAAAGUGACAUGGCUAAUAACCAUGUUACGUGACGGUACCUCAUGAAUAAGCCCCGGCUAACUCCGUGCCAGCAGCCGCGGUAAUACGUAGGUGGCGAGCGUUGUCCGGAAUUACUGGGUGUAAAGGGCGUGUAGGCGGGAUUGUAAGUCAGAUGUGAAAUUCCAGGGCUUAACUCUGGAGGUGCAUCUGAAACUAUAAUUCUUGAGUGCUGGAGAGGAAAGCGGAAUUCCUAGUGUAGCGGUGAAAUGCGUAGAUAUUAGGAAGAACACCAGUGGCGAAGGCGGCUUUCUGGACAGUAACUGACGCUGAGGCGCGAAAGCGUGGGGAGCAAACAGGAUUAGAUACCCUGGUAGUCCACGCUGUAAACGAUGGAUACUAGGUGUAGGAGGUAUCGACCCCUUCUGUGCCGGAGUUAACACAAUAAGUAUCCCACCUGGGGAGUACGGCCGCAAGGCUGAAACUCAAAGGAAUUGACGGGGGCCCGCACAAGCAGUGGAGUAUGUGGUUUAAUUCGAAGCUACGCGAAGAACCUUACCAGGGCUUGACAUCCCUCGGAUAACAUAGAGAUAUGUUAGUCCUUCGGGACGAGGAGACAGGUGGUGCAUGGUUGUCGUCAGCUCGUGUCGUGAGAUGUUGGGUUAAGUCCCGCAACGAGCGCAACCCCUAUUGUUAGUUGCCAUCAUUAAGUUGGGCACUCUAACGAGACUGCCGGUGACAAAUCGGAGGAAGGUGGGGACGACGUCAAAUCAUCAUGCCCCUUAUGUCCUGGGCUACACACGUACUACAAUGGUCACUACAAAGGGAAGCAAUACCGCAAGGAGGAGCAAAUCCCCAAAGGUGACCUCAGUUCGGAUUGUGGGCUGAAACCCGCCCACAUGAAGUCGGAAUUGCUAGUAAUGGCAGGUCAGCAUCCUGUCGUGAAUACGUUCCCGGGCAUUGUACACACCGCCCGUCACACCAUGAGAGU